CUCCCCCUAGGUGUAUGCGUUUAGAACUUUGUUUCGAUUUCUAAUAAAACUUCCGCAAUAAGUAUAUGAGUUCUUCAUGACUAAUGUGAGUCCAUGGUAUAGAUGCACUUUCACCUUCCACCAUUUCUAGCCUCUCUAGUGCCACGCAACUUUCACCGGUACACAAACCCACCAUAUACCUUUCUCAAAAAGCCACCAUACCUACCUAUUAUGGCAUUUUCAUAAGCCAUUCCGAGAUAUAUUGCCAUGCAACUCCCACCGUUCCGUCUCAUGACUUGUGACUUCACUUACAUAUUGCCAUUGCAUGAUCGUAAGAUAGCUAGCGAGAUGUUUCAACGUCAUACGCCAAGCUAGAUCGUUGCACAUCCCGGUACACCGCCAGAGGCAUUUCCUAUAGAGUCAUCAUUGCUCUAAGUAUUGAGUUGUGAGUAAAUAAAAGUGUGAUGAUCAUCAUUAUUAGAGCAUUGUACCAUGUUAGGAAAAAUGAAAAGAGGCCAAAGAUGCCCACCAAAAAAA
This 516-nucleotide long non-coding RNA is filed under the name Hordeum vulgare. RNAcentral describes it as "long non-coding RNA (HVUL_LNC009153)". The record is from RNAcentral. Lineage: Eukaryota; Viridiplantae; Streptophyta; Magnoliopsida; Poales; Poaceae.